Long non-coding RNA from Piliocolobus tephrosceles (Ugandan red Colobus), 2615 nucleotides. RefSeq lists it as uncharacterized. Lineage: Eukaryota; Metazoa; Chordata; Mammalia; Primates; Cercopithecidae. The record is from RefSeq and is a predicted model, not a curated record. The transcript has 4 exons.
AGACUAAACCAAUUAGCAGCAAGACUCCCACUCCCACAUGUUUCUGCCCCACCCCUGCAUCAAUGCCUACAUUUGUAGCUAUGAACAGUCUCUAAGGAGGCUGUGCCAAGUUCUAAGCCGGGACUUUCAAAGACUUGCCUGGGUGCUGCCGCCUCUGGACAUAAACUUUGAGAGUGCUGUACAGUCUGGACUGAGCUUAGCUACCUCUGCUGUAAGUCACCUUUAAUGUUGAACUUGAAGCCUUCCUGUCGUAUGUGGUGUGCAUCCAUGUGGACUAGUUGCACAUGUUCAGUAUGCUGUCCCUGAGGUCAAGAGUCAUCCGACUGACGCUUCAGCCCAGGAGUUUGGGCUGCGAUGAGCUGUGAUUGCACCACCGCCACUGCACUGCAGCCUGGAUAACAGAGCUGAGACCUCAUCUCUAAUAAAUAACCUGGGCGGAACAGACACACAGGAUGUGACCAACACAGAUCUAUGCACUCAUUCUUGGGAGCAGCUGAGCAGAAGGGCCAUGUUUCCCGGAAGCCUACUUUCAGCCCAGAGAAGACUCCAGAAGGGUCAGCCACACCCUACUCUCCUCCCGCUUGAGAAGAACUGGCUGACCCACCUCUUGCCCCCACUGUAAAUUCUGAACUGACUUCCUAAGAAUAUCUCAGAUCUCAAGAGCGAAGUAGGGCACAGGCGAAGUCGGAAGCACGACCACAUUCUCCUUUCAUAGAAAUGAGCAGGAAACGGAGGCAGGGACACAGCUUCUGGAAACAGGUCAAGCAAAGGGAAUGGCUUGGAAAAUCACCUUCCAUUUGCCUUCAGAGGCAAAUAAAACAUGAAGGGAAAUUCCCAAAGCAAGAAGUGAGAUAUCUGUGCCUGUCAAUCUCAACAAAUACCCUAGAUACUCAGCGCUCUGUAGUGAUUCCAGGGGUGAUGGGCCCUAGCUGAGGGCAGGGAAAGAGAGAAACCACCCCUCACGAUUCCUCCAUUCACAGCAUUGCAAGCUUAAGGUCUGAUUUCAUUGUUAAAGCCACACUCACAAGGACACACACUCUAUUCGAGCAUUAUUAUUCAUAUAAUACAAGUAACUUAAUAGGCAUUCCCUGAACCUUCCUGGUGCUUUAAAAACAAUGCCCACUAGUUUACAGACUUUCCAGGAAUGUAUAAAGGAAGACACGUCUGCUGAUCAGCCAACCUCAUGGCCUAUGGUGUUCAGCAUGAAGCACCCCUCUCUGGCCCUGGACAGGGCUUUCAUUUGUGUGCCUCCCAAACUUGGCCGUUCCUUUCUGGCGUUGUCUUCAAGCUCUGAUUACUGGGCAGUGAGCCUAUUAAUCUUGAAUGAAAUGAAGUCUCCGCCACUUCCAUUUGAAAAAGAAAUAGCUUUGCCUUUUCCAUUUGAUUCGACAGUAUAAAAUAUUUAUGAUUCCUCUGGCACCUCCAAUGCCCCCUCUCUCCCAUCGAUUCUCUCAGUCGGCACUAAGUGCUCACUUGGUGGCAAGUACUUGUUAUCCAUCAGGGACAGCCAGGGGAUGACAACAGCCAGGAAGCCCAGCUGCUCCAGGACCAUCGGGUCACCAGAAAAUCUUCUGCUUUUCCCCUGGGGGGCUCUUGUGAGUUUCCAAGCCCCCACAGCCACCUUGUAGAGGAUUUUGCUGCUGUAGGCUCUGAGGUCCAGCUUUUCCACCUUACUUUCUUCCAUUGGUGUGUUCCUUCUAUAAUCACACACAAGCACAACUGACACCUUUGGAUCUCCUGUGACAUCUAGGGCCAAGCCAGGGCAAUUGGGAACAGGGUUGGACUGUGGGGUCUAGAGUUGCACCCCAGAGGGCUCUGACCUCUAGGCUGUUUGAUUAACCCACAUGCAGCAGUUAGAUUUCCCAGAGGGGAAAGCACCUAGUUGGUGUUUCUGAAGUUAACGAGAGGUUUUCCUCUUGCCUCUCCAAAGUGACUCCUAGGCUGGCUGAGGUGGCUCAUGCCUGUAAUCUCAACGAAUUUGGGAGGCCAAGGCAAGAGAAUCACUUGAGACCAGGAGUUUAAGACCAGCCAGGACGACAUAGCGAGAUGCCAUUUCUACAUAAAAAAAAUUUUUUUCAUUAGCUGGACAUGGUGGCACACACAGAUAGUCCCAGCUACUUGGGAGGCUGAGGCUGGAAGAUCACUUGAGCCCAGGAGUUUGAGGCUGCAGUGAGCUAUCAUUUCAUCAGCAAACUCCAGUCUGUGCAACAGAGCAAAACCCCAUCUCUUUAAAAGAAAAAAAAUGACUUCUGUUCACUCCUUGCUGGUCCCCAUACAAUAUCCCUGACCUCCUGAUAGCAGUAAUCCCUUCAGACUCACUCCCUGUUGUAGAUGUAGAAAAUAGUGCUGGGAGUAACGGAAAACAGAAUGAUCUCAAUUUAACAAAAGAAAGAUACAGAGCUCCGUGCAUCUCCAAAACCUUCCAUUCCUCAGUUCCCAGGCUGUAUGAUGAGGAUAGGGAGGAUAGCCACCAUUCCGAGUUAUUAGGAAGGUUAUAUGUUAUAAAGCCUGAAACAGUGCCUGGCACUUAGAAAGUGCUUAGUGAAAGCUGGGCGUGGGGCUCAUGCCUGUAAUCCCAGCACUUUGGGAGGCCGAGGUCAAGAUGGGCCAAGGUG